RNAcentral lists this microRNA (21 nucleotides) under Marchantia polymorpha subsp. ruderalis. The record is from RNAcentral. Lineage: Eukaryota; Viridiplantae; Streptophyta; Marchantiopsida; Marchantiales; Marchantiaceae.
AGAGAUGAUCAGGUGGGGAGU